RNAcentral lists this ribosomal RNA (2151 nucleotides) under Triticum aestivum (bread wheat). Its description in RNAcentral is "partial small subunit ribosomal RNA". Lineage: Eukaryota; Viridiplantae; Streptophyta; Magnoliopsida; Poales; Poaceae. The record is from RNAcentral.
AUGAAGCUGAAGAUCAACAAGGCGUGCGACAUCGCCUCCAUCUCCGUCCUCCCUCCCCGGAGGACCGGAGGGAGCAGCGGUGGCGGUGGCGGGAUGAGCGCGCCUGCUGCUGCUUCCGCGGCGGCGGCGGCGCAGCAGCAGCGGUCCCAGUCCAUGUCGCAGAAGUCCUUCUCGCAGGGAGGAGGAGGAGGCGGCGGCCCGUUCUCGCAGGGCGUCGGCGCGUCCUUCUCGCAGGCCAUAGGCAGCGGUGGCGCGUCCUUCUCCCAGGCCAGAGGCGCGUCCUUCUCGCAGGGCAGCGGCACCGGAGACGCCGCGUUCUCUCAGGUCGGUGGAGGCGGAGGCGCGGCCUUCUCUCAGGGCGGUGGAAGCGGAGGCCCCGCGUUCUCUCAGGCCGGCGGAGGCGGAGGCGCGGCCUUCUCUCAGGGCGGUGGAGGCGGAGGCGCGGCCUUCUCUCAGGGCGGUGGAGGCGGAGGCGCGGCCUUCUCUCAGGCCGGUGGAGGCGGAGGCGGAGGCGCGGCCUUCUCUCAGGCCGGUGGAGGCGGAGGCGCGGCCUUCUCCCAGGGCGGUGGAAGCGGAGGCGCGUCCUUCUCCCAGGGCGGUGGCAGCGCGCCGCUCGUGCACGCGCAGUCGCAGCUCUCGCAGGCCUCCCUCGACGCGAACCUCCUCAGCCUCCUCUCGCAGGCUCCCGCGCGCGACCAGAGAUUUGCCUUGGAACAGGACUCGUCGAAGAGGACAUCUUCAUAUCCUGCCAGUUCAGCUUCUUGUGUGCGCGAGGAAUCUCAGCUGCAACUGACAAAGAUACCAACCAACCCUAUCCACCGCUGGAGCCCCUCUCUUCCGGAUAGCAGAUGUCAGGUUAAUGAGGAAGUUGAGCGCAAGUUUCAGCAUCUGGCAAGUUCAGUACAUAAGAUGGGAAUGAUAUUAGACUCGGUGCAAAAUGAUGUGAUGCAGUUAAACAGAGCCAUGAAAGAGGCAUCACUAGACUCUGGUAGCAUUCAGAAAAAGUUUGUGCUCCUAGAGGACUCUCUAAAGCAAAUUCUUAAGGGACAAGAUGAUCUCAAAGCAGUCCUUGAAGGAAUCACAGAAAGAAAUCCUGACCAACUGAGUGUUCUCAACUCUCUCGCCAGCAAACAGGAUGAGAUGUCCUCGUUACUUUCAGUCUUGCCAAAGCAUGUGCAAAUAGAACUGGGGCAACUGAAGGGUGACAUCAGCAGAAUUUUCUCAAAGGAGAUAGAGGGGAUAGUUAGAGCUGUUGAUACUAGGCUUGACCGGAUGCAAAUGCUGGCAAACCAGAGCUGCACCACCAAUGCAAAACCCCUGAUGAACCAGACAAGUGUAACAAAUGGAAGCCCCCUGAUGAAGCAGACACCAGCAGCAGAUGGAAGCACCCUGGUGAACCAGACAAGAGUAGCAGAUGGAGGCCCCCUGAUGAACCAAGGACCAGUAGCAGAUGAAAUCCCCCUGAUGAACCAAGGACCAGUACCAGAUGGAAGGCCGCAGAAGAAACAAAGACCAGUAGCAAAUGGAAGGUCCCAGAGGAAGGAACAAACACCAGUAGCAAAUGGAAGGCCCCAGAGGAAGAAACAAAGACCAGUAGCAAAUGGAAGGCCCCAGAGGAACCAAAGACCAGUACCAAAUGGAAGGCCCCAGGUGAAGCCAACAAAAACAGCAGAUGGAAGCUCGCAGAUGAACCAGAAACCCGAAGCAGAUGGAAAGGCCCUAAUGAACCAAGUACUAGCAGUAACUCAAGCUGCCAGUGCUCCUGCGCCCUUGGCUUAUCAGAGGAAGACAGAAGGUGUGAAGCCAAAUGUGGAAAAGGGGAUGGCAAAGGCCGCCACAGGUGCACAGGAAUUGGGUAGCUCAGGCGACAGCAGUCCGGCGCCACCUAAAGAGCAAGAGUUGGCGAUUCAGAAGGACAAUGAAGAGGCACCAGUCAACAAGGCGAUGUUGACCAUUGUCAUCGACUCGGACGACGACGAGGAGGGGGGUGGCAGCGCCGGGAGCGCGUCAUGCGUCACGCUGAAGGCCGAAGCAGGUGGUGCGGUGGCGGAGGCGGCGAUGGGCGAGGGGGAGGCGCUGGAGAUCCUGCGGCGGGCGAGGAAGCGCCGGCGGAGGGAGGGGGCCAACGCCGUCGUGCUCGACCACUGCUAG